Neofelis nebulosa (Clouded leopard) is the source of this 1333-nucleotide long non-coding RNA. RefSeq lists it as uncharacterized. The record is from RefSeq and is a predicted model, not a curated record. The transcript has 2 exons. NCBI's taxonomy places the organism in Eukaryota, Metazoa, Chordata, Mammalia, Carnivora, Felidae.
UUUGAGUAUGUCCUGUAAUAUUGGGGUGAGAGGAAGAGAGGGGGCCAGGGAGGGGUCGAGAACAAGUCCUCAGUGUUGUACUAUUUGUCUCAGUCCUCAGGACUAAAGAAGACACUCAGGAAAAAAAAAAAAGUGAAAUAAAUAACAGAGACAGCCAUGACUCUGGCUCUUUCAAAACUCUGUACUUCCAGCUGGGAUAGGCUAAAGAGAUGCUCAACAGAGAUGCACUCAUUUCAGCAAUCACCCUGGCCGGAAGGAGUGUGCUCCGCAGGGAGCUCACACAACUUUCCUUUUGUGUUUGUGUGUUGCUGUUCUCCUGGAGAACUAUGCAGGCUGUGAGGACAAGAGGUCAGAGGCCAAGGAACCAGGAGGCCUUGGCAGGACGUUUCCUAGCAUCCUCAGUGAGAUGACAAAUGGAGGGGGGUGAAGCAGAGGUCUGGCUCCCCACCCUUCCCACCAUCCAGGAAGUGGCUCCAUUUCCUUGCUGAUACUCUCCCCUUCAUCCAUCCUGCUUCCCUCCCCCCCGAAGCAGAGGAGCCAUCCCAGAGUCAGUGCUCCUCACAGCCCACCUGCUCCUGGCUUCAGAUCUAAGACAUCUCCAGACUUAUAGGAAGAGAGGCUAUCAGAAAUCCAUCCCCAUCCCACGCUUUCUCUCCAGAUCAUAGGAAAAUAUCAAAGGAUGUCCAUUCUGGGAGCAGACCUUGGGACAGCCAGCAGCAGGCACUGACAGAUGCUCUGUCCCUCAGCCCUUGUCCCCUGCAUGGGAUGGGGAGGCAGAAAUUUUCUGAUUCUGUCACAGGGCAGAGUUCUGGUAUUCUCACUUUUUAAAAAAUGUUUAUUUAUUCAUCUUUGAGACCAAAAGAGUACAAGUAGGGGAGGGGCCGAGAGAGGGGGAGACACAGAAGCCAAAGCAGGCUCUAGGCUCUGCGUUGUCAGCACAGAGCCCGAGCUAGGUCAUGAUCUCACAGUUCGUGGGUUUGAGCCCCACAUCGGGCUCUGUGCUGACAGCUUGGAGCCUGGAGGCUGCUUAGGAUUCUGUCUGCUUCUCUCUCUGCCCCUCCCCCACUCACACAUUGUCUCUCUCUCUCUCUCUCAAAUAAAACAUUAAAAAAAAAAUCUUUUUUUAAAGACUCAUUUAUCAGUUAGGGUCUAGGCCCGUGUCCACAAAGGCAAGGCCUAAGAACAUGAUCCACUGGUUCCAAGUCUCUGGCCUCCUAGUCCUGGCUGUGGAGAAUGAAGGGCUUAUGGGCAUAAUCACUGAGAGCCUCUGUUCUGCUCGAGGGCUCAGUAUUUCUGGAAUGUUUAACUUGGAACAACCAUUCACUGACCCAGA